RNAcentral lists this ribosomal RNA (253 nucleotides) under uncultured bacterium. RNAcentral describes it as "partial 16S ribosomal RNA". It matches the Rfam family "Bacterial small subunit ribosomal RNA", at positions 524 to 776 of the family's 1533-position model. The record is from RNAcentral.
UACGUAGGGGGCAAGCGUUGUCCGGAUUCAUUGGGCGUAAAGAGCGUGUAGGCGGCCAGGUAGGUCGGUUGUGAAAACUGGAGGCUCAACCUUCAGAGGUCGACCGAAACCAUCUGGCUAGAGUCCGGGAGAGGAGAGUGGAAUUCCUGGUGUAGCGGUGAAACGCGCAGAUAUUGGGAGGAACACCAGUGGCGAAGGCGGCUACCUGGACCGGUUCUGACGCUGAUGCGCGAAAGCGUGGGUAGCAAACAGG